Long non-coding RNA from Esox lucius (northern pike), 1834 nucleotides. NCBI's taxonomy places the organism in Eukaryota, Metazoa, Chordata, Actinopteri, Esociformes, Esocidae. The record is from Ensembl.
CAUAGGACAGUAAUGAUUAGAGGCAGUGUGUCAAGGAAGAACAGCAGCCUGGAUAAGUAACUACUGACUUCAAUUAGUUCUACAAUAUGUCUGGAACUCUCUGACUGCUCAGUGUAGCAGCCAGUCACAGCAGGGAAGUCUCUGCUCCAGGCUAACAUCCAGUAUCAUAAAACAGAGUUGAAUGAUUGAGAUGGAGGAGACACACUCAAACAGAACAUCCUCAAACAGUGGAUCAUUCCAUACCGAGACAGAGUUUCAAUGAGUUAGUGACUUAGCAUCAACACAAAAAAAAGAGAGAAUAUGGUAAGCCUGGUUUGAGGCAAAGUGUCACAUUUUGUGAAGCAAUAAAAGAGAUGACAGGGAGGUCCUCUGUAUGACUUAUCAAAAAGUUAAAGUAACUGUUCACUGGGAAGUUGAGGCAUGCAUAACAGGCUCUUCGAAAAGCACCAAGCUCCUAAAAUAAGUGACCCCACUCUGCAGACAGCCCUGGUCUUGAUGAGGAGAGGAGCUGCAAGUAGGGAGCCACAACGAAUUAACAUCCCACCCAAUAAACAGUAAGCAUGCAGGCCAAUGCUAUGUAGGCAGUCAACACCUCCAAAUCAGCAACAUGAUUUACAUCAAAAACAAAGGAAGUCCUUUUGAGAUUAUACUGACAACAACAAAAAGACACCAUACAUGUCCAGACAUUUUGGAACUCAUAGCUGGGAGAAAUAAAUUUGAGGUUGAGAAUGCCUUCAAAGCUAUUAUAGAUUGAUUGAACCUCUUGAAUUUUGUUUGGAAAUUUGUUCUGACAUAAUGCUGCAAGACAUUAUUAGUGUGAGCCAUCUAGGUUAUACUAUGUUAAAUGUUAAAGACAAACAGACCUUGCAACAUUCUGGAGUUUCAAGUGAGCGGAAGAGAAGCAUUUUUCCCUGAACCGGUCCUGGUCCUCAGUCUCAGUGCCAAGGACAGGUCAGUGCUAAGCAGAAAAAAACAGCCUGUUGACCAGCAACUGGCAGGCCUGGCACCAAUCAUGGCACUUCACAGCUUCACAUCCUCUAAUGACUGUAAAAAAACGCCCUGUCACAUUACGCAUAUCACCCUGGCGCCUUUCUCAAUUGUGUUCUCCUCUUAUGAACAGGAGUGAAAGAUCGGGGUGAGGAGAAAGUGAGCAUUAGCAUUUGAGACAGGAUGGUGUCACAGCCUGCAAGUAGUCACUCCCAGACGUCAGUGCAUCUUCAAUGGAUUAGUACAUCUAGUGAAGAGACCUUGGAGAAACAUGUGUUGUGUUGUUCAGUGUCUGUUAGCCAAAAAUGUACAUGUCCAAACAAAGAAUUCACUGGUUAGCUUUAAGGUAAUCUGAAAUGUAAUCUGUAUUUAGCUACAGAUAAAAAAAAAAAAAUGCAUUUAGUAUUUUGAAAGCUUCAUUGAUGAUUGAAAGUAACACAGUUCUAUAGGUCACAGUUAUAUAGGUGUUUGAGGUCACUGUCAUUUUCUGUUGGUGCAUGGACAAGUCUUGAGUCCAGCAUUGCAUUUUUUAAGUCUAUUUCUGCUUGUCAUACAUUAAAAAGAUGAAAGUACUGGUGAGGUCGGCUAUUACUAACAACCUGGUAGACUGUGUGUGACCUAUACAGUGGACGACCAAAGAAUGCUCACCAUAGUGUAAAACAGAUGAACAAAACUCUACAGAAGGCAAGGCCUGGAUCUGUCAGCUACAACCAUCUGCAGAGAUCAACUAAACUACAGAGGCAGGACUACAAGAUGAAAGUGCACAGAUACAACUUGUCAGACCCAACAAAAUGAUCCAGAUCCAACAAUAUGCCUCAAAUGGAGAUAAACCGACACCAAUGCUUUC